AAAUUUUUAUGACAUUUGAACUACCUCAAUGUUAAACUUACAAUUUUUGCUAUUAUAAAUUUUUUGGAAACGUCUAUAUUUAUAAGACCAAAAAAAAAACUAAUAUUUCAUCUUUAAUAUAUAACAGUAACAGGAUUGAUGGAUAGUAUGCCACAAAGACACCCGGUAGAAGGUUGGUGCAAAAGGCCUCUACCUAACCAAAAACCAGGACCAUGUAAUAACGACCGUUGUUCGGCUAGGUGUAAGGAGCAGAAGCAAUUUGAGUUUAAAGGGGGCAAGGCAAUGGGUAUUUGCUCUAGUGAAAAUAGAUGUCUUUGCACUUUUCGUUGCCGAUAAUUUUGAUGCAUUUAUUUAUUUUAAAAUAAUAAUCAUUUGUUUUUCUCCUUUUCUGACAUCCAAAAAUCAUUUCAUAUUCCGUAUUAUAUAAUAUGUCUUAUUAAAA
RNAcentral lists this small RNA (442 nucleotides) under Arabidopsis thaliana (thale cress). Its description in RNAcentral is "ATSL213920". The record is from RNAcentral. Lineage: Eukaryota; Viridiplantae; Streptophyta; Magnoliopsida; Brassicales; Brassicaceae.